AGCGAACGCUGGCGGCAGGCCUAACACAUGCAAGUCGAACGAACUCUUCGGAGUUAGUGGCGGACGGGUGAGUAACACGGGGGAACGUGCCUUUAGGUUCGGGAUAACUCAGGGAAACUGGUGCUAAUACAGAAUGUGCCCUUCGGGGGAAAGAUUGAUCGCCUUUAGAGCGGCCCGCGUCUGUUUAGCUAGUUGGGGAGGUAAAGGCUCAUCAAGGCGAGGCUCAGUAGCUGGUUUGAGAGGAUGAUCAGCCACAUUGGGACUGAGACACGGUCCAAACUCCUACGGGAUGCAGCAGUGGGGAAUCUUGCGAAAUGGGCGAAAGCCUGACGCAGCCAUGCCGGGUGAAUGAUGAAGGUCUUAGGAUUGUAAAAUUCUUUCAUCGGGGACGAUAAUGACGGUACCCGGAGAAGAAGCCCCGGCUAACUUCGUG
Molecule: ribosomal RNA, 433 nt
Filed under: uncultured bacterium
Lineage: Bacteria
Description: partial 16S ribosomal RNA
Rfam family: Bacterial small subunit ribosomal RNA
Source: RNAcentral